Long non-coding RNA from Heterocephalus glaber (naked mole-rat), 551 nucleotides. RefSeq lists it as uncharacterized. The record is from RefSeq and is a predicted model, not a curated record. NCBI's taxonomy places the organism in Eukaryota, Metazoa, Chordata, Mammalia, Rodentia, Bathyergidae.
CGCAGAAAACCCUCGUAUAAUAAAGGAAACAACUGCUCAUGGAGGUAAAUUCCAGUAGAUGGGUAUUAUUGCUCAGCCUGGCUGCCACAAAUUCUGAAGCUCAGAGAAGUUAAAUGACUGGACCAAAGUCACAUGGAGCCAGGACUCAAACCUGGAUGUCUUUCUGCAGAGGCCAUCUUUCCACCUCCACCAAGAAGUACAAGGGGCCGCUCUCCAUUUUUACACAGAGAGCUUGGUGCUACUCCUACUGCCGUGGGGCCUCUCAUUUCAUACCCAAGUGACCAGAAGCCUUCAGCUGCCCCUGAAACACAGGUUAAGAUAAUCAGACUCCUUCAAUACACAGUACAAGUUCCUGAGACAACAGGAGCAACCCCGCCAGGCACCAGGGUUUCAGAGGGUAGGAACUGUCUUCUUCACUUUGGUACCUUGGGGACCUGGCACUAGAAAGCAUUCAAUAAAUGUUGGUGGAAUGAAUGAAAAUUAAAUGAAGGAAGUGUUUCGCCUGAAGAGAAUUAACACCUAUUUUCUAACAAAGCAACAGCACUUGAACA